UACGUAGGGGGCAAGCGUUGUCCGGAUUUACUGGGCGUAAAGGGCGCGUAGGCGGCCACUGCAAGUCAGUUGUGAAAUCUCCGGGCUUAACCCGGAAAGGUCAACUGAUACUGCAGGGCUAGAGUGCAGAAGGGGCAACUGGAAUUCUCGGUGUAGCGGUGAAAUGCGUAGAUAUCGAGAGGAACACCUGCGGCGAAGGCGGGUUGCUGGGCUGACACUGACGCUGAGGCGCGAAAGCCAGGGGAGCGAACGGG
This 254-nucleotide ribosomal RNA is filed under the name uncultured bacterium. Its description in RNAcentral is "partial 16S ribosomal RNA". It matches the Rfam family "Bacterial small subunit ribosomal RNA", at positions 524 to 776 of the family's 1533-position model. The record is from RNAcentral.